CAGUUGCCAUAACUCCGAGCUCAUCGGGCUAAGUUCAUAGUGAAUAAGCGUGCUGAGCCAGUGACAAAUUGUCACAAGGGCAUAAUUGGAAAUGAUUAUCGCCUCCCGUGUUUGGAAAGGUGUUCCGUGGCGCAACAA
This 138-nucleotide non-coding RNA is filed under the name Vibrio coralliilyticus. RNAcentral describes it as "MoCo sequence". It matches the Rfam family "Molybdenum/Tungsten riboswitch aptamer (Moco RNA motif)". Lineage: Bacteria; Pseudomonadati; Pseudomonadota; Gammaproteobacteria; Vibrionales; Vibrionaceae. The record is from RNAcentral.